AUCUUUUGGUAUCUGUGCUCCACUUAAGCCAGCUACCCGGUUAGGUAAUCUGCCAGGAUUAGCUAACCUUCGAAAAACCACCUGCCAGGGUGGUUUUUUCGU
Molecule: non-coding RNA, 102 nt
Filed under: Citrobacter koseri
Lineage: Bacteria; Pseudomonadati; Pseudomonadota; Gammaproteobacteria; Enterobacterales; Enterobacteriaceae
Also listed under: 2 other names
Source: RNAcentral